RNAcentral lists this ribosomal RNA (379 nucleotides) under uncultured bacterium. Its description in RNAcentral is "partial 16S ribosomal RNA". It matches the Rfam family "Bacterial small subunit ribosomal RNA", at positions 355 to 746 of the family's 1533-position model. The record is from RNAcentral.
UGGGGAAUAUUGCACAAUGGGCGAAAGCCUGAUGCAGCGACGCCGCGUGAGGGAUGACGGCCUUCGGGUUGUAAACCUCUUUCAGCAGGGAAGAAGCGAAAGUGACGGUACCUGCAGAAGAAGCGCCGGCUAACUACGCGCCAGCAGCCGCGGUAAUACGUAGGGCGCAAGCGUUGUCCGGAAUUAUUGGGCGUAAAGAGCUCGUAGGCGGUUAGUCGCGUCUGCUGUGAAAACUCGAGGCUCAACCUCGGGCUUGCAGUGGGUACGGGCUGACUAGAGUGCGGUAGGGGUGACUGGAAUUCCUGGUGUAGCGGUGGAAUGCGCAGAUAUCAGGAGGAACACCGAUGGCGAAGGCAGGUCACUGGGCCGCAACUGACGC